RNAcentral lists this long non-coding RNA (582 nucleotides) under Androctonus crassicauda. The record is from RNAcentral. Lineage: Eukaryota; Metazoa; Arthropoda; Arachnida; Scorpiones; Buthidae.
CUAGACACAAUAAGUAAAUAUACACAAAAGAGGGAGACCUAAAAAAAACAAGUAUACAUAGAAUAGAUUCGAAAAAAAUGGUGUGAAAGAGCAUAUAGCCGUUAAUACAAGGCUUUCUGCUCGUUACAGAGGCAUAUAUCCGUAGUUUGUGAGGCUUUCUGCGGGAAAAGCACACGCCCUCAACUACGUGGCUUUCUGUUUUAAGUACUUUUUUCUUUCGCGAGCACGUAACUAUAGAAAUGAGAAUAUAAUCUUUAAAACUUAUAAUAAGAAAUCAAUAAAAAAGAAUAAAAUAUGUGAGAUAAAAUAAAUAUCGGGUAUUGAGCGAAAUAAAUAUGGGAAAUAUCUUAAGAACGACUAGUCUAUUUAUCAUAAUUUUAAUCGUCAUUCUCGUCGCGUUCAGAAAACGCUUGCGUUACAUGUGCAGUAAUCGCCAUGGUACGAAUAAGCGUAGAGACGCAAAAGGCAAUCAGACUUUCGUUUCUCCCAAGUGCAGUCCGCCACGAGAAACGUUAGAACUAAAGCCGCCUUCUCCCUCUCAUACUUCGUAUUAUCCGAAGAAGACAUCUAAUAAACAGAUCG